Molecule: ribosomal RNA, 440 nt
Filed under: uncultured bacterium
Lineage: Bacteria
Description: partial 16S ribosomal RNA
Rfam family: Bacterial small subunit ribosomal RNA
Source: RNAcentral
CCUACGGGGGGCAGCAGUGGGGGAUAUUGCACAAUGGGGGAAACCCUGAUGCAGCGACGCCGCGUGGGUGAAGAAGCGCCUCGGCGCGUAAAGCCCUGUCAGCCGGGAAGAAAAUGACGGUACUUGAAGAAGAAGCCCCGGCUAACUACGUGCCAGCAGCCGCGGUAAUACGUAGGGGGCAAGCGUUAUCCGGAUUUAAUGGGUGUAAAGGGGGCGCAGACGGCGGUGCAAGCCAGGAGUGAAAGCCCGGGGCCCAACCCCGGAACUGCUCUUGGAACUGCAUGGCUAGAGUGCAGGAGGGGCGGGCGGAAUUCCAGGUGUAGCGGUGAAAUGCGUAGAUAUCAGGAGGAACACCGGUGGCGAAGGCGGCCUGCUGGACUGCAACUGACGUUGAGGCCCGAAAGCGUGGGGAGCAAACAGGAUUAGAUACCCGAGUAGUC